This 2902-nucleotide ribosomal RNA is filed under the name Escherichia coli HVH 164 (4-5953081). RNAcentral's name for it is "bacterial LSU rRNA". It matches the Rfam family "Bacterial large subunit ribosomal RNA". Lineage: Bacteria; Pseudomonadati; Pseudomonadota; Gammaproteobacteria; Enterobacterales; Enterobacteriaceae. The record is from RNAcentral.
UUAAGCGACUAAGCGUACACGGUGGAUGCCCUGGCAGUCAGAGGCGAUGAAGGACGUGCUAAUCUGCGAUAAGCGUCGGUAAGGUGAUAUGAACCGUUAUAACCGGCGAUUUCCGAAUGGGGAAACCCAGUGUGUUUCGACACACUAUCAUUAACUGAAUCCAUAGGUUAAUGAGGCGAACCGGGGGAACUGAAACAUCUAAGUACCCCGAGGAAAAGAAAUCAACCGAGAUUCCCCCAGUAGCGGCGAGCGAACGGGGAGGAGCCCAGAGCCUGAAUCAGUGUGUGUGUUAGUGGAAGCGUCUGGAAAGGCGCGCGAUACAGGGUGACAGCCCCGUACACAAAAAUGCACAUGCUGUGAGCUCGAUGAGUAGGGCGGGACACGUGGUAUCCUGUCUGAAUAUGGGGGGACCAUCCUCCAAGGCUAAAUACUCCUGACUGACCGAUAGUGAACCAGUACCGUGAGGGAAAGGCGAAAAGAACCCCGGCGAGGGGAGUGAAAAAGAACCUGAAACCGUGUACGUACAAGCAGUGGGAGCACGCUUAGGCGUGUGACUGCGUACCUUUUGUAUAAUGGGUCAGCGACUUAUAUUCUGUAGCAAGGUUAACCGAAUAGGGGAGCCGAAGGGAAACCGAGUCUUAACUGGGCGUUAAGUUGCAGGGUAUAGACCCGAAACCCGGUGAUCUAGCCAUGGGCAGGUUGAAGGUUGGGUAACACUAACUGGAGGACCGAACCGACUAAUGUUGAAAAAUUAGCGGAUGACUUGUGGCUGGGGGUGAAAGGCCAAUCAAACCGGGAGAUAGCUGGUUCUCCCCGAAAGCUAUUUAGGUAGCGCCUCGUGAACUCAUCUCCGGGGGUAGAGCACUGUUUCGGCAAGGGGGUCAUCCCGACUUACCAACCCGAUGCAAACUGCGAAUACCGGAGAAUGUUAUCACGGGAGACACACGGCGGGUGCUAACGUCCGUCGUGAAGAGGGAAACAACCCAGACCGCCAGCUAAGGUCCCAAAGUCAUGGUUAAGUGGGAAACGAUGUGGGAAGGCCCAGACAGCCAGGAUGUUGGCUUAGAAGCAGCCAUCAUUUAAAGAAAGCGUAAUAGCUCACUGGUCGAGUCGGCCUGCGCGGAAGAUGUAACGGGGCUAAACCAUGCACCGAAGCUGCGGCAGCGACGCUUAUGCGUUGUUGGGUAGGGGAGCGUUCUGUAAGCCUGUGAAGGUGUACUGUGAGGUAUGCUGGAGGUAUCAGAAGUGCGAAUGCUGACAUAAGUAACGAUAAAGCGGGUGAAAAGCCCGCUCGCCGGAAGACCAAGGGUUCCUGUCCAACGUUAAUCGGGGCAGGGUGAGUCGACCCCUAAGGCGAGGCCGAAAGGCGUAGUCGAUGGGAAACAGGUUAAUAUUCCUGUACUUGGUGUUACUGCGAAGGGGGGACGGAGAAGGCUAUGUUGGCCGGGCGACGGUUGUCCCGGUUUAAGCGUGUAGGCUGGUUUUCCAGGCAAAUCCGGAAAAUCAAGGCUGAGGCGUGAUGACGAGGCACUACGGUGCUGAAGCAACAAAUGCCCUGCUUCCAGGAAAAGCCUCUAAGCAUCAGGUAACAUCAAAUCGUACCCCAAACCGACACAGGUGGUCAGGUAGAGAAUACCAAGGCGCUUGAGAGAACUCGGGUGAAGGAACUAGGCAAAAUGGUGCCGUAACUUCGGGAGAAGGCACGCUGAUAUGUAGGUGAAGCGACUUGCUCGUGGAGCUGAAAUCAGUCGAAGAUACCAGCUGGCUGCAACUGUUUAUUAAAAACACAGCACUGUGCAAACACGAAAGUGGACGUAUACGGUGUGACGCCUGCCCGGUGCCGGAAGGUUAAUUGAUGGGGUUAGCGCAAGCGAAGCUCUUGAUCGAAGCCCCGGUAAACGGCGGCCGUAACUAUAACGGUCCUAAGGUAGCGAAAUUCCUUGUCGGGUAAGUUCCGACCUGCACGAAUGGCGUAAUGAUGGCCAGGCUGUCUCCACCCGAGACUCAGUGAAAUUGAACUCGCUGUGAAGAUGCAGUGUACCCGCGGCAAGACGGAAAGACCCCGUGAACCUUUACUAUAGCUUGACACUGAACAUUGAGCCUUGAUGUGUAGGAUAGGUGGGAGGCUUUGAAGUGUGGACGCCAGUCUGCAUGGAGCCGACCUUGAAAUACCACCCUUUAAUGUUUGAUGUUCUAACGUUGACCCGUAAUCCGGGUUGCGGACAGUGUCUGGUGGGUAGUUUGACUGGGGCGGUCUCCUCCUAAAGAGUAACGGAGGAGCACGAAGGUUGGCUAAUCCUGGUCGGACAUCAGGAGGUUAGUGCAAUGGCAUAAGCCAGCUUGACUGCGAGCGUGACGGCGCGAGCAGGUGCGAAAGCAGGUCAUAGUGAUCCGGUGGUUCUGAAUGGAAGGGCCAUCGCUCAACGGAUAAAAGGUACUCCGGGGAUAACAGGCUGAUACCGCCCAAGAGUUCAUAUCGACGGCGGUGUUUGGCACCUCGAUGUCGGCUCAUCACAUCCUGGGGCUGAAGUAGGUCCCAAGGGUAUGGCUGUUCGCCAUUUAAAGUGGUACGCGAGCUGGGUUUAGAACGUCGUGAGACAGUUCGGUCCCUAUCUGCCGUGGGCGCUGGAGAACUGAGGGGGGCUGCUCCUAGUACGAGAGGACCGGAGUGGACGCAUCACUGGUGUUCGGGUUGUCAUGCCAAUGGCACUGCCCGGUAGCUAAAUGCGGAAGAGAUAAGUGCUGAAAGCAUCUAAGCACGAAACUUGCCCCGAGAUGAGUUCUCCCUGACUCCUUGAGAGUCCUGAAGGAACGUUGAAGACGACGACGUUGAUAGGCCGGGUGUGUAAGCGCAGCGAUGCGUUGAGCUAACCGGUACUAAUGAACCGUGAGGCUUAACCUU